GACAAUAAUAACCAACUUCUAUUUGGUCACGCAGAAUGUUCAUGUUGUAUUGAAAGAAUAUGCCCUGGUUUAUGUCACUAAUACAGGGAGUUCUUUUGAAGAAUCCUUCAUUUCUGUAUGAACUACCUGGCACUUGCAUUCACAGCUCCUGGUUGUUCAGACUCCUCCUGUAACAACCAUCUCAGAAACAUUCAGGAAGUGUGGAUAUUCCCUUGAUUACCAAUUAACUUUCAGAGUUGCAUUCACUUGACCAGAUAUCUGCUUUAGGGGGAAAUUAAUUAUUCGGUAAAAGAUCCUUGUUUUCAGAUCUUAUAUUUACCAACCAGAGGCCUUGAGUAAUUGCUAAAGAUGUUGUGAUUACCAGUAGGCUAAAGCUGGCAGCAAGAAGGAAACUUGGAAGGGCUUGUGUCUGGAACACUGAGGAAUAAGUACUGUGUGUGUUGUUGAAGGGGCUUUAUGUACCUUGCCUUACUCGAGGCAGGUCCCAUACUUAGUGUAUGCCUUUGAUCUUACUAUUUACUGUAGGUGAUGAGCAGAGAUUGUUGUGCAGUUUUUAGAACAAAGCUGUUUCUUUGGAAUAAUGAAUAAUUGGAUUUUGUUUGUUUAUCUGUUUAGCAGGAAAGUGCUAGCUUUGUAGUGUUUUGCUUGCUUGUUUGUUUUUGUCAAAAAUAUUUUGUCAGAUCUGGAGUCUCAGCCUAGAACACUGGAACCAUCCCCUUGUUAGGAAACCUAGAUUCAAGGGUUCUGAUUAAAAUGCUGCCCUCAACUUCUCUCAAACUUUCAGUCAAAAGUACUCUCUUCUACCUAAAUAUUAAUAAUAUGCUAACCUCAGGCAGUUGAUGCAGGAGAACUGUCAGGGAAUUAACCCAAACUGGGAGAAUGUUUGGCCUGAGGCUGCUGUCGGAGCUGUUGGGUCACUGUACGCUAUUGGCAAACAAAUUGACCUCUGUUUCUCUAGUAGACAGUCCCAUCAUAUAAAUUUAAAUAACUGUUUAAGAACUAGUUCUUGUAUGUCUCUGUACAUCAGAAGAGAGAGGCUUAUUUGGAGAAUGGUUCCUAUUUUUCAUUAUCCUCUGGACAAAUCUCUAUUAUAAGAUAAAUAGAAAGACUAACUCACAAUUCCUAUUUUUCAUUUCAUUUUCUGCAGAAAAAUCUUCGUUGUUGAUUAGGAAUCUUUAUUUUCUUACCAAAUAUUUUCCUCAGGUGCAAACUCUAUUUUCUGUCUACUUCAAUUGAUUAAUCUUCUUUGAUUACAGACUUUUUUUUUAAUAAAAUGACAGCAUAAUUAUUGUCCUAGCAGGUGACCUAUUAAGUACUCCAUCAUGAAUUGGCUUUAGCUUUCUGCCAUGCUGCAGGUCAUCUGAACAUCAAACUGAUCAAUUAGAAAUACAGUGUUGCACAUUCCACCUCAGCAUGGUCAGGUGUGCAUUUGCUUAGCUUGAAAAACCUAUAUAAGUCAUGACAUCUGGUCUUGAUCUGAACAUUUUAACUUAAUAUGACUGUGACGGCCAUUUUGCAUAUGCUAUGCACAUGAUUUAUGGUAAUAAGAGAAGACAACUUCUCUUAGUGGAAAGGAACUACUCUGAGGAGGUAAGUCUGACACCAAGUCAGGGCCUUAUGACUAGCUGCUGUUUUAUGCUGACGCUUAUAUCAAGCCAAAACUAGUUAAAGAUAGAGAAGUAAUAUUAUUUCUUGCAGUGCUGGAACACUUUAUACUGAGUAGAAUUUAUAUCCCUUUAAAAGUGUGUAGAUUCCCUUCAAGGCUGUUUGAAUGCAUUCAUUAAAGAUAACUUCAUCUGGACUAUAGAUGUGUGAAGCAUUCAGGAAUUAUGCAAUCACCUUCAGUGGUCAUGAGAAUAGAUCCUUAUUAGACAAAAACCACCGACUUUUCUAUUUGUUUUUAUGUAUUCUUGGCUGGACACUGUCUGUUUCACGUCCAAGUCAGUAAUUCUUAGAUACCUUAGCUCAAGAAAUACCACUACAUUUUUAUUUUAGUUGUACGGUACUAUGGUUUGAUAUAACCAGUUACAGUCUAGGCUAUAACAAUUAGCAUAUCUUCUCUUCUAGGACAAACAAGCACUUCACUGAGCAGCAGGGCAUGGAAAAAUCUCUGCUGUUAUGAACAGGCAUCAUAAAACAAUAUGGUAUGAGAAAGGCAGAGAAAGGAAAAAGGAGAAGGAAGAAAAUGGAAGGGAAGGGAUGUGUCUCAUGCUUUAGCAUGCAUUUGUAACGGGUAGUUUUAACUGACUCUUUCAGUGUCUUGCUUAUGCAAAUGGAGAUUAGUUGUGAUUGGGACUCCAGCAGAUGUCCAGUACAUAAUUUUUCUAAAAUAGCAAGAAAAUCGGUAUACUGCUCCUUGUAAGGUAUAAUGACAAGUAUCUUUAAUCAGUGUGCUCAGGGCACCAUUUGUGAUAAUCACUGAUGAAGUCUUUAAUCUUUAGUUGCCUGAAGAUAAAUGGCUGAUCUUUAGAAAGAACUGUAAAUGAUUUCAUAGCCCUAGCAGAAAACAUGCUAACUAAUAAUGUGAUGCAAACUCGUUUCUUUAAUCACUGACGUAUUUCUUUAUUAUGGCUCUUAGUUUUUGACCUGACAUAUGCAGAGUACAGCAAAGCAACAAUCUGCAUUUUGAGUUCAAAACUGGGAAUAAAUUGGCAUUAGACAUAAAAUGUGAUGUUGAAAAAUAUAGCACUAUUUUCACUUUGGUUUCACUGAAGAUUCCUGGAAAACUUUAGGCAGAAUGGUGAUGGAGUCUUCUGGAGAAAAUCCUUAGGAACUGCUCAGAUUUGGUUCCUUUCUGAAAAUAGAUGGAGUUUCCAUAGAAGUUCCAGUUUUCAUACCGUUUUUUUUACUGUUUUUCUACAAUAUGUAUGUAUUGGGAAAAAAAAAUCAAAAUGCUACAUUCUGUUUAUAAAUAUCCCUCUUUCUGUACAUAUGACUGUGAAAGUCAAUCAUACCUGGAUUGUGCAACUGAAAUAAUUGUUUAUAUGACUAAUUUAGGGUGAUUGUGAGAAAAGAGAUAAAAGUCAUACUCAUCACGGAGAAUACGCUUAUCUUUUGUAGCUAUCAUUAAAGUUAUAUCCUGAAGAAGUUAACUGUCUACCAUCACCAUAAUUUCUGACUUUGGGGAUGAAAUGCACUGACAUGGCUUGCACUGUCAUUUAUUCGACUGAUAUUUUUUCAGUUAGAACCUUCCCUUUCUAGAGAUUGCAGCACUGAUUUUUGAGGAAGCUUAUAGAAGAGGGAUUGGUACAGAUAUUUCUUUCUUUCUGCCUUUAAAUGGAGUGCAGAAGCAGCAGAAAAAGCCUUUCUACUCUUUGUUUUGGGAAUGUGGACUUAGUUGCUCCCUUCCUUUGGUUGAGCACUCUAUGAUUCAAUUUUUCUUUCUUCUCAGUAUUUUUCCCAGUGGUACUUUCUUGAAAAAUUAUCUUCAUAUGCUCUAAAGAACACUGCAAUAAUUCCCACUGACUGAUGGUGAGAGAGUUCUUGAAAGGAGACCGAAUCAAGUCUCAUAGCUUCUGAGCUGAUGGCCUUUCCAACAGGAGCACAUAUGCCAACAACAGCACAGCCGAGAUCCAUCAUCUGGAGGCAAACUCUUUGCUGUUGGCAAGUGUUCCAAACAGCAGUUCAGGGACUGGGGAAUGAGAAGAGAUAUUCUCUCUUUUUCCAACCACUUUGUUGUAUUUUGUGGAAACAAAUCUUCAAGCGACAGCAAAAGCUUGUACCUCUGCUCAAAGCCAGCAUGCCAGUCAUAAUGACCCACAAAUAGUUUCACAGCUAAUACGAAUUAUAAGUUCUGGUGCAGUGCUUGAGAUGACUUAGAAAUGCAUUCCCCACGGCAUCAGCUGAUGUACAGGAACUGUUUCUGCUCCAGUAUCUCACGAGUUAUCUGAGUAUCUGACAAGUUUCAACAGUGUGACAGACAGAAAAAAAAUGGAGUGAGUGAAAAGAGAUGGGUCAGUGUAUCAUUCUCAAAAGUCUUUCCAGUGAUAGCAGUUGUCAAAUUUCUAGUCGAUAUACAAAUAGCAUUUUUAGAGCUUCAUGGACAAAAUAAGAAAAAUUGUAGAAGUGCUUUAAUACAAGAAUCCCCUGAAGUUGGCUAUACUUAACCCUAUGUUUACUGUACGUACUGGAGAGUUUUUAUAGAUGGCAAAAAAAAUAAACAAUUGCUGGGUAGAAUUGGGUAAUGCUUGAAGGAAGGAAGGGCAAAAAGUUGGAGAAAAAAGACCUGAAAUCAGAACUAUUCUAUUACCAACUCAUCCCACUUAGCUUAGUGUUCAGUUCAGUUUCUUUUUCCAAGCCUAUCUGAAUCAAACUGGCUUUAGUGAGAGCCUUUAUCACUUAUUUACACUAAAUGACCUGAUGACAAAAUCUAGGAGAGUUGAAUACAGCUGAUAAGUACAUUUGGAAAUGUGACUCGGACAUUUAUGUUCUUUCUACUUAAUGUUCCUGAUAACUUGAAAGAAAUUCUUCAGCCAGUAAAUCUGUUAAUUAGCUUAGUUGUAAUUACCACUGUGACUGCAGUGAUUGCAUUUCAGGUGUCUACUAUCCACCAUGACACCUGGGUAUGCCAGGCGUAAUACCACGUAACUAUUUUGUAAAUGCUAAUUCCCUAAUUCAGCAGGAGGGUUUUCAAGAGGCAGCAGAACUAGCGUCAAGCAAAGAAUUACUACUGUGGUAGACUUGCAACAAAAAAACUUUUCAACUUCUGACUAAGAAUUGGCCUGAAAUGAGGUGAAAAUAAAAGCUGCUUUGUCACAGUGGACUCUGUAGAUCUGGGACACUGGGUUGAAGUGGGAUAAGCAAAAUGCAGACAACAGAGGAAAAUGAAAGAUAUCAUGCA
Numida meleagris (helmeted guineafowl) is the source of this 4840-nucleotide long non-coding RNA. RefSeq lists it as uncharacterized. The record is from RefSeq and is a predicted model, not a curated record. Lineage: Eukaryota; Metazoa; Chordata; Aves; Galliformes; Numididae. The transcript has 2 exons.